Molecule: ribosomal RNA, 301 nt
Filed under: uncultured bacterium
Lineage: Bacteria
Description: partial 16S ribosomal RNA
Rfam family: Bacterial small subunit ribosomal RNA
Source: RNAcentral
CAGUAGCCGCGGUAAUACGAAGGGUGCAAGCGUUACUCGGAAUUACUGGGCGUAAAGCGUGCGUAGGUGGUGGUUUAAGUCCGUUGUGAAAGCCCUGGGCUCAACCUGGGAAUUGCAGUGGAUACUGGGUCACUAGAGUGUGGUAGAGGAUAGUGGAAUUUCCGGUGUAGCAGUGAAAUGCGUAGAGAUCGGAAGGAACAUCUGUGGCGAAGGCGAAUAUCUGGGCCAACACUGACACUGAGGCACGAAAGCGUGGGGAGCAAACAGGAUUAGAGACCCCGGUAGUCCCUGUCUCUUAUAC